CUGCCUCAACCCAUAGAGAGAUUUUUUCAACUUACAGACAAGAGGAGGAGAUGCAGAGGAAACAGAAUCAGAAGAAGAGACAGAAACAGAUAAACCUGGAGGAAGCUUCAUAUAAACCUCCUCAUCCAAAUCACCAUGUAAGAAAGCAUUGUUAACAUCAAGUUGGAAAAGUUUCCAAUGCUUCUUAACAGCCACUGCAAUAAGACACUUCACAGUAGACAUUUUAACCACUAGAGAAAAAGUGUCAGUGAAAUCAACCCCUUCAAUUUGAGUAUCCUCUCUAAUAACAAGUCUAGCUUUGUACCUUUCAACACUACCAUCAGCCUUAUAUUUGAUCUUAUAAACCCAUUUGCAGCCAAUGGGUUUCUUUGUAUCUUUCAGCACUACCAUCAGCCUUAUAUUUGAUCUUAUAAACCCAUUUGCAGCCAAUAGGUUUCUUACCAGAAGGAAGGGGAACAACAUCCCAGGUACAGUUGGCAUCCAAAGCAUAGAACUCCUUUCUCAUGGCAUCCUGCCAUACUAGAACUGAUGCAGCUUGAGAGUAAUA
This 547-nucleotide long non-coding RNA is filed under the name Nicotiana benthamiana. RNAcentral describes it as "long non-coding RNA (NBEN_LNC039428)". The record is from RNAcentral. Lineage: Eukaryota; Viridiplantae; Streptophyta; Magnoliopsida; Solanales; Solanaceae.